RNAcentral lists this ribosomal RNA (625 nucleotides) under Pseudovibrio sp. AU116_Ted1_MB. RNAcentral's name for it is "bacterial SSU rRNA". It matches the Rfam family "Bacterial small subunit ribosomal RNA", at positions 93 to 753 of the family's 1533-position model. The record is from RNAcentral. Lineage: Bacteria; Pseudomonadati; Pseudomonadota; Alphaproteobacteria; Hyphomicrobiales; Stappiaceae.
UAGUGGCAGACGGGUGAGUAACGCGUGGGAAGCUACCUUGUGGUAGGGGACAACAGUUGGAAACGACUGCUAAUACCCUAUGAGCCCUAUGGGGGAAAGAUUUAUCGCCAUGAGAUGUGCCCGCGUUAGAUUAGCUAGUUGGUAAGGUAAUGGCUUACCAAGGCGACGAUCUAUAGCUGGUCUGAGAGGAUGAUCAGCCACACUGGGACUGAGACACGGCCCAGACUCCUACGGGAGGCAGCAGUGGGGAAUAUUGGACAAUGGGGGCAACCCUGAUCCAGCCAUGCCGCGUGUGUGAUGACGGCCUUAGGGUUGUAAAGCACUUUCAGCAGUGAAGAUAAUGACAUUAACUGCAGAAGAAGCCCCGGCUAACUUCGUGCCAGCAGCCGCGGUAAUACGAAGGGGGCUAGCGUUGUUCGGAAUCACUGGGCGUAAAGAGUACGUAGGCGGACUGAUAAGUUAGGGGUGAAAUCCCAAGGCUCAACCUUGGAACUGCCUUUGAUACUGUCAGUCUUGAGAUCGAGAGAGGUGAGUGGAACUCCGAGUGUAGAGGUGAGAUUCGUAGAUAUUCGGAAGAACACCAGUGGCGAAGGCGGCUCACUGGCUCGAUACUGACGCUGAGGUA